This 223-nucleotide ribosomal RNA is filed under the name uncultured bacterium. RNAcentral describes it as "partial 16S ribosomal RNA". It matches the Rfam family "Bacterial small subunit ribosomal RNA", at positions 116 to 334 of the family's 1533-position model. The record is from RNAcentral.
CGUAGGUAACCUGCCUGGUAGCGGGGGAUAACUAUUGGAAACGAUAGCUAAUACCGCAUAAGAGUAGAUGUUGCAUGACAUUUGCUUAAAAGGUGCGAUUGCAUCACUACCAGAUGGACCUGCGUUGUAUUAGCUAGUUGGUGGGGUAACGGCUCACCAAGGCGACGAUACAUAGCCGACCUGAGAGGGUGAUCGGCCACACUGGGACUGAGACACGGCCCAG